AUUGAACGCUGGCGGCAUGCCUUACACAUGCAAGUCGAACGGCAGCACGGGAGCAAUCCUGGUGGCGAGUGGCGAACGGGUGAGUAAUAUAUCGGAACGUGCCCGGUCGUGGGGAUAACGUAGCGAAAGCUACGCUAAUACCGCAUACGAUCUACGGAUGAAAGCGGGGGAUCGCAAGACCUCGCGCGAUUGGAGCGGCCGAUAUCAGAUUAGGUAGUUGGUGAGGUAAAGGCUCACCAAGCCGACGAUCUGUAGCUGGUCUGAGAGGACGACCAGCCACACUGGGACUGAGACACGGCCCAGACUCCUACGGGAGCAGCAGUGGGAUUUGGACAAGUGGGCGCAAGCCUGAUCCAGCAAUGCCGCGUGCAGGAU
RNAcentral lists this ribosomal RNA (375 nucleotides) under uncultured bacterium. RNAcentral describes it as "bacterial SSU rRNA". It matches the Rfam family "Bacterial small subunit ribosomal RNA", at positions 30 to 409 of the family's 1533-position model. The record is from RNAcentral.